This is an RNA transcript of Hyaena hyaena (striped hyena), 1910 nucleotides long. It is a transcript of the gene named phosphatidylinositol-binding clathrin assembly protein-like, with no coding region annotated. The transcript has 18 exons. Lineage: Eukaryota; Metazoa; Chordata; Mammalia; Carnivora; Hyaenidae. The record is from RefSeq and is a predicted model, not a curated record.
AUCGCAAGGAGCUGGUACCUUUGAGGUCUCUUCCUUCUGCCGCUGAUCUCUGCGAGGAGGAGACCCCACUUCAGGCUGGUGCGGCCGAGAACACUAGGUUUCCUUGCCCCCAACUCCCAGCUGGAGGGCUUUCUUCCCAGGAGGAGCGGGACUGAAGUGUUUCUCACCAGCUCCCCACUGCCUGUUGCCGAGACUAAGUCCCAGGCGCUCCGCCUUUUGCCUGCAGUACCGGUCCUGGCUCAGUCCGCGGGCCCGGAAGCGGAGGGACCGGACUCCGCAGCCGUCACCCUCGUGGCCAGCGCUCUGUGACGCACCAUGGGAUCUUAUGCGUCCAAGGCUGCCCUCGGGGCUACCACCGAUGAGCCCACAGAACCUGAGCCGAAACACCUGGCAGAUCUGAUACAAUACAUAAAUGAAACAAACAUGAGUGUUGAACAUCUGGCUGAUGUUCUUUCUGAGAAAGCCAGGAGCAGCAGCUGGGUGGUGGUGUUCAAAGCCCUGGUCACCGUGCAUCACCUCAUGGUUCAUGGAAAUGAGCGUUUUAUCCAGCAUCUCGCGUCUAGAAGCUCUUUGUUCACUUUACACAACUUCAUGGAUAAAAGCGUCCUAGAAGGCUACACUAUGUCAACCUUCAUCAGACGAUAUAGCAGGUACCUGAACGAGAAGUCACUCUCAUGCAGACUGAUCACAUCUGAUGUCACCAAAGCCAAGAGAGGGAUGGGUGGUAUGAUGAGAACUAUGGAUACAAAAGAGCUGCUAAACAUUCUUCCGAUUGUUCAAAUUCAGUUUGAUGCUCUUCUUAAUUUUAACGCAAAUCCUGACCAACUAACGAAUGGUAUAAUCCUUGCUGCUUUCAAACUUCUCUUUAAGGAUUCUCUUCGCCUCUUUGCAGCCUAUAAUGAGGGGAUCCUCAAUCUGCUAGACAAGUAUUUUGCUAUGAGGAAAAGCCAGUGCAAGGAAAGCUUGGAUAUUUACACCAAGUUCCUUGCGAGAACAACGAAGUUGGCAGAGUUCCUGAAAGUAGCAGAGCAAGUCGGAAUUGACCAGAAAUAUAUUCCAUACCUUACACAGGCUCCCUACAGUUUACUGGAAGCCCUAAAACAGCAUUUAGCUUCUUUGGAAGAGAAAAAUGACAGUUUCCGUCCUUACCGUCUCCAGCAUGCCUUGAUUCCUCCCAGGCCAAAUAAUCCAGUUGUGAAAGCUUCAACAAGCAGAGCUUGGUUCUCAGCAUUACAUUCACAAGUCCGCAAAUGUACUGGAGUCAGACAGCAAGGUAGAAACAUCGUUGCAAACAGUCUGGACGGCUUGCCUGCUACCCUUGCAGGAAAGCUUAACAUCGGAGAAAACCCAGUCAACAAAUCUGACACGAAGAGGCCUCAGCCUUCAGAUAUGGGCACUCCCGGUGGACUGCAGUGGCAGCUGAAUACGCACACGUGCACAUCAACCAUCUGGAAGUGUGUUUCCAUUCCUCCUGUUCAUCGCAUGGUACCACCUCCAGGGGCCGGGACCUCAGAGCAAGUGCCCAUGUAUAGAAUGGUUUAUCUUUCCCAUCACUGAAUAUUGAAGUGCUCCAGAAUCAAUCCCUGAGCACCUUCUCUGUCAACAUUCAUUCCCUUGGUGAUUCCAUCUACAUCAUGGCUUUAAACGUACAUUUAUAUACUGAUGAUUCCCACACUUGUGUCACCAGUCUAGAGCUCCUCACUGUUACCAACGUAUAUAUCCACCUGCCUAAUUGACGUCUUCACCUGGAUGUGUAAUCGGCAUCUCCGGCUGUACAGACACAACCCACGUAAAAGUACCAAAGCACAAAGAUUCAGAUUCAGAGGUGAAAAAAAGGCGAUCGUCUCUCUACAGCCUGAGCUGAAUCAUUCACAUCUGCCAAGUAAAAUAAACAUUCAUUUGAACCAUCA